Molecule: transfer RNA, 91 nt
Filed under: Methylococcales bacterium
Lineage: Bacteria; Pseudomonadati; Pseudomonadota; Gammaproteobacteria; Methylococcales
Description: tRNA-Pro
Source: RNAcentral
ACAUCCUUUUGGAAGGUUAUCCGGGGCUUGGGAAGACCAUCACGGUAAAAACCGUUGCCGGUGUAUUGGAUGCAAAAUUCCAAAGGGUGCA